UAGAACCUACGGGACGCAGCAGUGGGGAAUAUUGCGCAAUGGGGGCAGCCCUGACGCAGCAACGCCGCGUGAUUGAAGAAGGCCUUCGGGUUGUAAAGAUCUUUAAUCAGGGACGAAAAAUGACGGUACCUGAAGAAUAAGCUCCGGCUAACUACGUGCCAGCAGCCGCGGUAAUACGUAGGGAGCAAGCGUUAUCCGGAUUUACUGGGUGUAAAGGGCGUGUAGGCGGGCUUGUAAGUCAGAAGUGAAAUCUGGGGGCUCAACCCCCAAACUGCUUUUUAAACUGCGGGUCUUGAGUGAUGGAG
RNAcentral lists this ribosomal RNA (305 nucleotides) under uncultured bacterium. RNAcentral describes it as "bacterial SSU rRNA". It matches the Rfam family "Bacterial small subunit ribosomal RNA", at positions 333 to 654 of the family's 1533-position model. The record is from RNAcentral.